Long non-coding RNA from Bos taurus (domestic cattle), 668 nucleotides. The record is from Ensembl. NCBI's taxonomy places the organism in Eukaryota, Metazoa, Chordata, Mammalia, Artiodactyla, Bovidae.
GCGCCCCGCCGGCCGCCGCCUCCAUCCCCGCCCGCGGCCCGCGCUCCGAGCGCCCAGACCCGAGGCGGCCCGCACGUGCGCCCGCUCGCCGCCCGCCAGCCGACGAUCUGGGAGCAUGCCCGCGGGAGUCCGGCCGCUCGCCCGGGGCCAGCUGGCGGCGGCGGCGGCGCGUGGAGCCGCGGGGCGCAGCCGGCCGGGUUGGGGCCACCGGGCCGGAGUCUCCCGGGCCGCGUGAGGCGGCGGCGGCCCAGCGCGGCCGAAGAGGACGGAGCAGCGCCGUGCAGAGCGGGCCCUGGCCUGCCUGGGGGUGUACCCGGGGCCUAAGCGUGGGGUGUGGCCCUCAGAGAGAGGGGGCCAGGACUUGGAAGAAGUGCUCCCGGUUGUCCCCCUCGCUGGAGGAAAAAAUCUGGCCAAUCUCCAUCCCGGGACACCAGUUCAAUCCCUGGUCCAGGAAGAUUCCACAUGCUGUGGAGCAACUAAGCCCAUGUACCACAGCUCCUGCAGCCCACGCUUUAGAACCCGUGCUCCAUAACAAGAGAAGCCACUGCAAUGAGAAGCCUGAGCACCGCAACGACGAGUAACCCCCGCUCACUGCAACUGGAGAAAGCCCGUGCACAGCAAUGAAGACCCUGCACAACCAUAAAUAAAUGAAUAAGAUUAAAUAAACC